Molecule: ribosomal RNA, 468 nt
Filed under: uncultured bacterium
Lineage: Bacteria
Description: partial 16S ribosomal RNA
Rfam family: Bacterial small subunit ribosomal RNA
Source: RNAcentral
GACGAACGCUGGCGGCGUGCUUAACACAUGCAAGUCGAACGGAAAGGCCCUGCUUUUGUUGGGUGCUCGAGUGGCGAACGGGUGAGUAACACGUGAGUAACCUGCCCUUGACUUUGGGAUAACUUCAGGAAACUAGGGCUAAUACCGGAUAGGAGCUCCUGCUGCAUGGUGGGGGUUGGAAAGUUUCGGCGGUUGGGGAUGGACUCGCGGCUUAUCAGCUUGUUGGUGGGGUGGUGUCUUACCAAGCCGUUGACGCGUGGCCGGCCUGAGCGGGUGACCGGCCAGAUUGGGACUGGGAUACGGCACAGACUACUCUGCGAGGCAGCAGUGCAGAAGAGUGCACAAUGGGCUGAGGCAUGCUGCAGUGAAGCCGCGCGCGGGAGAACGGGAAGGUGGUUGGAUUCCGCUUUCGCGUUUGACGAAGCGUGAGUGACGGUAAUGGGUAAAGAAGCACCGGCUAACUACGUG